CCUCCUUAAACGAAACGGACUCAUUUUGGUCAGAGUUCACACGAAUUGCUUGGUUGGUAUUUAGAGAGCGAAAGGGCAUAGGCCCUAGAAGGCCUGUAGCUCAGGUGGUUAGAGCGCACCCCUGACAAGGGUGAGGUCGGCAGUUCAAGUCUGCCCAGGCCUACCAAUUUUCCAUUAUGCUUCGNUAACGCAUUGCUCACGUACUGUUAGUACGCGACGCAAGACGUUCCUCGCCUAAUAGAAAAUAUACCUUAUUAAGGUUUGCAAAAACCGCUGUAAAUUGGGGCUAUAGCUCAGCUGGGAAAGCGCCUGCCUUGCACGCAGGAGGUCAGCAGUUCGAUCCUGCUUAACUCCACCAAUUUCUUCUGCUCAUAACUAAAAUUAUUCCAUAAAAGGCGUUGGCUUUUGUUGAGUUGUUUUAGUUCUGAUCAGAGAUCAGAAAGCUCUUUAACAAUUUGGAANUGUGAUAGUAAAAAAGGCAUUGUUAAGUAGUUGUGGAUCACUAAUUGAUGAAGCAAUGCUAAAAUAAUAUUGUGCCCCAUCCCCUAUCCCCCAUUGGGGGUAUGUAAAAA
RNAcentral lists this transfer RNA (572 nucleotides) under uncultured Gammaproteobacteria bacterium. Its description in RNAcentral is "partial 16S-23S ribosomal RNA intergenic spacer". The stretch from base 90 to 163 matches the Rfam family "tRNA". The record is from RNAcentral. Lineage: Bacteria; Pseudomonadati; Pseudomonadota; Gammaproteobacteria.